RNAcentral lists this transfer RNA (69 nucleotides) under Rattus norvegicus (Norway rat). It matches the Rfam family "tRNA". From Rfam's summary of the family: Transfer RNA (tRNA) molecules are approximately 80 nucleotides in length. Their secondary structure includes four short double-helical elements and three loops (D, anti-codon, and T loops). The record is from Rfam by way of RNAcentral. Lineage: Eukaryota; Metazoa; Chordata; Mammalia; Rodentia; Muridae.
GGAGAUUUAGCUCAGUGGUAGAGCGCUUGCCUAGGAAGCGCAAGGCCCUGGGUUCGAUCCCCAGCUCUG